AGUGGGAUAGCUGGGUCAAAUAUGGUUCAAUUCCAAGUUUUCCAAGGAAUCUCCAUACUGCUUUCCAGAUUGGUUGCACCAAUUUGCAGUCCCAUCAGCAAU
RNAcentral lists this microRNA precursor (102 nucleotides) under Marmota monax (woodchuck). The record is from RNAcentral. Lineage: Eukaryota; Metazoa; Chordata; Mammalia; Rodentia; Sciuridae.